GGUAGGACCCUCGGCAACGGAUAUCUCGGCUCUCGCAUCAACGAAGAACGUAGCGAAAUGCAAUACGUGGUGUGAAUUGCAGAAUCCCAUGAACCAUCGAGUCUUUGAACGCAAGUUACGCUCGAGGCCAUCCGGCCGAGGGCACGCUUGCUUGGGCAUCACGC
This 164-nucleotide ribosomal RNA is filed under the name Metroxylon salomonense. RNAcentral's name for it is "5.8S ribosomal RNA". It matches the Rfam family "5.8S ribosomal RNA". From Rfam's summary of the family: 5.8S ribosomal RNA (5.8S rRNA) is a component of the large subunit of the eukaryotic ribosome. It is transcribed by RNA polymerase I as part of the 45S precursor that also contains 18S and 28S rRNA. Functionally, it is thought that 5.8S rRNA may be involved in ribosome translocation. The record is from RNAcentral. Lineage: Eukaryota; Viridiplantae; Streptophyta; Magnoliopsida; Arecales; Arecaceae.